GUCUAUGGCCAUACCACCCUGAACAUGCCCAAUCUCAUCUAUCUCGAAAGCUAAGCAGGGUCUGGCCUGGUUAGUACUUGGAUGGGAGAAGAUGACCAGUUUACGUUACAUG
RNAcentral lists this ribosomal RNA (112 nucleotides) under Octodon degus (degu). The record is from RNAcentral. Lineage: Eukaryota; Metazoa; Chordata; Mammalia; Rodentia; Octodontidae.